Long non-coding RNA from Dreissena polymorpha, 4959 nucleotides. RefSeq lists it as uncharacterized. The record is from RefSeq and is a predicted model, not a curated record. The transcript is spliced from 3 exons. NCBI's taxonomy places the organism in Eukaryota, Metazoa, Mollusca, Bivalvia, Myida, Dreissenidae.
AUGAUGAUGACUGCAGUCAGAAUUUUGAGUACGACGCUUUCGUGUGUCACAAUCAAGACGACCGCGAGGACACGCGGUUCGUACAAGACCUGAUUGAGGAGCUAGAAGUUAGAAGAGGACUUCGACUCUAUGUCCCAGGUCGCGAUGAUCCAACGGGUGCAUACGAAUACAUCACCACUGCUGGCGAAAUUGAAAGAAGUUGCCGAAGAGUGAUUGUAGUCCUAUCAAGGACGUUUCUUCAGAGCAGAUUUUUGGUCUUCAUAGAACGGUUUGCACAAGGAUUUUCAACAGACGUCCAAAGACGUGCACGAAUGAUUACAGUCAUCCGAGAGAAAGGCGCCGUCGUGCCUAGUACACUAAAUGACGGUUAUAUUAUCGACUGUAACGACAUCAUCAAUUGGGUCCUCUUUACAUCAUUCGUCAAAGAAAAGAUUUCACAAAAAACAUACAGAGAAUUUCAAAGAAAUAGAAACAGACAAGUUCUUCGUGUGCCGUAUCCAGCAGGUGCAAAUGAAUACACAGCUCUUAAAGAGGUAACGCCUUCUCCAAAUAUUCAGCCUAAUGCGGAUCCCAUGGGAUCUAACGCUCCAAUUUCAUCAGAACAUACUUUGACUCAAUGACAAGCCGACGCAAAUGAAAACACAGCUCCUAAAGAGGUAACGCCUUCUCAAAAUGUUCAGACUCCUGUAGCAACAGCGAUCCGGACUGACUUACAACUUCUUCAAAAAGAAAAGAAUAUACAAGAAUCCUCCCAGAAAAGCGACGAAAUAAAUAAACCUUCACCCAUCACGCAUAGCGAAACAACUCUGCAGCACGAAGGCGAAACUGUAUUGUCAGAUGAACACAGUGUUUCUAUGAGUCCUUUUUACUUAGAAUACCGGAGCCAACCAACUACAGUGAUGCAAAGACGACAAAAUACCCGUGAUACGCCUCUAUCGCAAAAUCCGAUCCCUAUCGUGCAAGACGAACAAACUACCGACCGGACAACUCAACUGCUAGCAGACCAGACAUCAAGUAUGGCUCUUUCUGAGCAGCUGAUAUCUGAGCCAUCUUCAAUUGAUCAGCAAACUGAAACCUAAAAUUCCACAAGCGUCGAACCGAAAGUACUUAGCGAGGAAAACAAUUAAGAUAUAUGAUAGUUAGCCACAGUUAAGUGUCCUUGAACAGCAGAACGAAUGACGAACUGAAGAUUCGAGUACGUUUUUGGACCGUUUACGUAAAACAUGUCGCUACUAAUUAAACAAAUAAAACGCGACACUUAAAACACCCAAAAGAAAAUUAAAACAAACUGCACAUGAGGAAUUAUUCUUUCAUGACUUGAACAGUAAAUAACUUCCAUGUCAGUGCCAAUAUUCAAAUAACAAAUAUCGACUUUAUAAUUUACUUGACAUGUUGUUUAAAUGUUUAUAGUUUAUUACACCCGCAGAAAAUUACAUCAAGCGUUUUAAUACUAUAAUUUAUUACACACUUUAUAUGAGAAAACAUAUCAUAAUUUACAUAAGCAGAUAUAUAUCUUUUAAAGGGUGUAAUUGUUUACAUGGCAAUUAAAAAAAGUUUGAUUAAUAUACUUCAAAGUUGUUAAAAAUUUGUUGAUUCAAAAUAACCUUUUUAUUGUUUUAGCUAUUGCAUAUUGUCUGUUUCUUUCAGUAAUGUUGCGCAGUCUUUAUAAGGGUGUUUUGUAAGUACAAUUAUCCCAUUUUUUAAAUAUUUUUAUUCUUUAUCCAAAACUGUUAAGUAUACUUUAUGUCACAAUGCAUCAAUCUUGUCAUACAUAUGCGUUCUUUUAUUUCUUUCAAGUGGUUAUGCGCCAAGUUCAUUCUCGAUUAGUCUUCAACUAUAUCGGCAAUAAUGUGUUAUUAUCACAAUAUUGUAAUGGAAAAUUAUUUGUUGCCAGGUACAUCCGUCUAGGCAGAUUUAUUUCAAAAGAAAUUGAUAUAAAAAUGCUGUAUAACGGUUUCAUUUAGACUUCAGAAAAUAGAAAUUUCUAAAAUUUAUCUUUUAUUGGGAAAAUAUAAUUUUGAACUGACAGAAAACCUCUUAACGCGCGUGUGUAGUUUGUUGGUUUGUUGAAAAUCACUAUAUUAGAAUUUCUUUUAUUUAUUUGCAAAUGUAUGUAUGUUGCUUAUAUUUCAUUUAAUCUUCCGUUUGUAAACGUUUUGGUGAGAAAUUGCACGUUUUUAUGGCGAUUGUUGAAAUUUUUUGCCACAAUCGUCCUUUUUUGUUCUAUAAGUACCAUAAAUCAUGCACUGAUAAGUAGCCGGGUAUAACAAUCAUUUCCAAUAUAAAAGAACACCUCGUAUAUCUGCACAUUAUUAUAUAUCAUGUUUUCAAAUUGGUACGUGUCUCUUGUCGUCCAUUCUGCUCUCCGUCUGUCCGAUAGAUGCUUUGUAUCUGCUAAGUAUUGUCUACAUUGUUCGAUUAUUAUAUGUGUACAGAAUUAGACAGAAUUAUGGUUGCACAAGUCUGUAGUAUGUAGUCUGCACAAAUAGUAAAAAUUGAAACACAGAAUAGCUGUGCGUUUUAUUUAUUAAUUUUGAAAGAAAAAAUGUAAAUCAUAAUACUACAUAUUCAUAAAACUAUAUUGUAUGGAUUUUAAAUAUUCAUAAUAAUUUGAAUGUUCCUUUUUGUGUUUUUUUUCUCUCAGUUUUUUCAUGUUUUGAAUGGAUUUUAAAUAAUACUAUAUAUCUAUACUUUAAGUACAAUAAGCAUCUUUGCAUGACUUUAUUACACAUGAUUUUGUUGUUCAUUUUAUCUGCCUUUUCAAUGUUGUAAAUUAUUUAUGCCCCGCUUCGAAGAAGAGGGGGUAAAUUGUUUAGCUGGAUGAUUGUCGGUCUGUCGGUCGGUCUGUCGGUAGACCAGUUCGCUUCCAAUUAAUCACUCGUCAACGAAUUGACCGAUUUGCUUGAUGCUUCACAUGUGCAUUGGCCUCGGGCAGUUAAUGACCCCUAUAUAAAUUGGAUUCAUUAUGUCAAAGGUCAAGGUCAGUGUAUCAAGAAGUGCGAACAUCGUUUCCGAUCAAUAACUCAUCAACGAAUCGACCGAUUGGCAUGAUACUUUACAUGUGCAUUGGACUCGGAUACUAGAUGACCCCUUUGAAACUUGUAGUAACUUGGUGAAAGGUCAAGGUCACUGUCACAAUGAGUGUGAAAAUGGUUUCCGAUCAGUAACUCGUCAACGAAUUGACCUAUUGGCUUGAUACUCCACAAGUGCAUUGGACUCUGACUGUAGAUGACUCCUAUUGAAAUUAGGGUCACUAGGUCAAAAGCCAGAGUCACUGUCACAAUAGGUGUAAACAUCGUUUCAGAUCAAUAACUCGUCAACAAAUUGACUGGUUGCAUUGAUACUUCUCAUGUGUAUUGGACUCGGACAGUAGAUGAUGCCUAUUGAAAUUGGGGUCACCAGGUCAAAGGUCAUAGUCACUGUUACAAUAAGUGGAAAUCUGAUCAAUAACUCAUCAACGAAUUGACCGAUUGUCUUGAUACUUCCCAUGUGCAUUGGCCUUUGACAGUAGACGACCCCUUUGGAAAUUUGGGGCACUAGGUCAAAUGUCAAGGUCACUGUUACAAUAAGUGUGAAAAUUGUUUCCGAUCAAAAUCUCGUCAAAAAUCGAACGAUUGGCUUUAUACCUCACACCUAUUGAAAUUGGGGUCACAAGUUCAAAGCGCUGUUUUGGGGGCAUAUGUCUCCGACCUCGGAACUCGUGUUUUCUUUAUGUUUUUUUCAUAAAGGACAAUAUUAUGUUUUCUUUUAUCCUAUGCAAACACUCAGAUAGGAGAUGUUUUCUGACGUAAUCAAUACCUAUAUUAUUGGGUAUAUACUGAAUAAUGUUUGCCUUUUUAUUCACGUGUUUCGCGAGGUUGAAAAUCCUGAUUAAAAGAUUGGGGUAUGGCGAGCGGGCGGGUGUUUUUGAGACGUUUUAGUUUCGGUAUAUAUUUUUUGUCGUUUGAUCUAUUGGUAGCUAACAAAACAAGCACGUUUUGCAUUGAUUUUAGGGCCAGUUGGUUACAAGUUAUUGUUUUAAUUACUAUACAUACACAGCAAUCUUGUGUGUUCUUAUCAUAUCUUAAGACUGCAUUGACCAAUGAAGCUUUUUGGAAAUUUAUGCGACAGUGAUUCGGAAAAAUGUUAAUGUGAAUGUUAAACACAAUAUAAACAUGGAAUAAUCCAUUUUGGAGUAGAGGUAUUGCAUUCAAAUUUGGGAAUGUAGCUUACAUGCCGACAAGGUUUUGAAUUUCAGUUUUGGCUAUACAGGUGAAGAGCAAGUAAAUAAAAAUAGAAGAAAAUAGUCAGCGAAUAACUAAGUUUGGAAGGAGGUCUUGCAUUAACAUUUUGUGUAAAGGUUGCUUAAAUUCAUUCUUAGCUUGGGAUUACAUUGUGGGGAGAGUUGAAUCAAAUUAAAGGUCAUAGUUAGUUAAAGUAAAAAUAAAAGUGUUAUCGCUUACAACAUGAAUUCGGAUGGAGCUGUUACGCUGACAUGUUGCGUGUAUGUAACUUAGAUUAAGACCUUGUUCACGAUUGAUUAAUAAUUUAAAUUACAAUUAUAUUAAACGUGUACUUUAAAAACCUGGUUUCGUGCCGUUAUCUUUUUCCUUGUUUCAAAUUUAAUGUCUUUAAUUUGAAUUGAUUGAUAUAUUAAUAGCAUUUUAGUCAUUUAAGCACUGUUACUAUUUACAUGCUAUACACUUAAAAGCUUGUCAGCAUUUGAAUGGUUCAAAAACAAGCGGUGUUUGUUCGUAGGUAUAAUGUAAACGAUAGUAUCGUUUGCAUACAACGUGUUCGUGUAACCUUACCAAGCCGUGGAUGACAUAAUUCUUGAGUUAUUAAUGGCUUAUGGUUCGUCCUUGUCAUCGGCUACUGAUAAAAUAUUAACUAAUUUGGUUAAAUUGUCCAUGUAUUCGUUAUUUAGCUGUUUUAAUGCGUAUUCAGGCGGUGACGUUCUGCUACUUGGAAAGUAUAUAA